UAUGGCUGUCGUCAGCUCGUGCCGUGAGGUGUCGGGUUAAGUCCCAUAACGAGCGCAACCCUUAUUGUCAGUUGCUAACAGGUAAAGCUGAGGACUCUGGCGAGACUGCCACCGUAAGGUGUGAGGAAGGUGGGGAUGACGUCAAAUCAGCACGGCCCUUAUGUCCAGGGCUACACACGUGUUACAAUGGCCGAUACAAAGGGCAGCUACCAGGUGACUGGAUGCUAAUCUCUAAAGUCGGUCUCAGUUCGGAUCGGAGUCUGCAACCCGACUCCGUG
Molecule: ribosomal RNA, 278 nt
Filed under: uncultured soil bacterium
Lineage: Bacteria
Description: partial 16S ribosomal RNA
Rfam family: Bacterial small subunit ribosomal RNA
Source: RNAcentral